This 329-nucleotide unclassified non-coding RNA is filed under the name soil metagenome. Its description in RNAcentral is "partial contains 5.8S ribosomal RNA, internal transcribed spacer 2, and large subunit ribosomal RNA". The stretch from base 1 to 120 matches the Rfam family "5.8S ribosomal RNA", at positions 35 to 154 of the family's 154-position model. The record is from RNAcentral.
GAUGAAGAACGCAGCGAAAUGCGAUAAGUAAUGUGAAUUGCAGAAUUCAGUGAACCAUCGAAUCUUUGAACGCACAUUGCGCCCUCUGGUAUUCCGGGGGGCAUGCCUGUUCGAGCGUCAUUAUAACCACUCAAGCUCUCGCUUGGUAUUGGAGUUCGCGAUCUCGCGGCUCCUAAAAUCAGUGGCGGUGCCUGUCGGCUCUACGCGUAGUAAUACUCCUCGCGAUUGAGUCCGGUAGGUUUACUUGCCAGCAACCCCCAAUUUUUACAGGUUGACCUCGGAUCAGGUAGGGAUACCCGCUGAACUUAAGCAUAUCAAUAAGCGGAGGA